GUCUUGGUGGCUCAGAUGGUAGACUGUAGUACUGGUGAUCCAGUGGUCGUGGGUUCAAGUCCCACCCAAGACA
Non-coding RNA from Cydia strobilella, 73 nucleotides. NCBI's taxonomy places the organism in Eukaryota, Metazoa, Arthropoda, Insecta, Lepidoptera, Tortricidae. The record is from the annotation of a RefSeq genome assembly.